UUAACGCACAGAUAAAGGAAGAUGUUACUCUAAACAUAAUAAAUAAAUUUUAGUUAGGGCUUAACCACGUUCAAAAUAAUAUUAUGGUACAAAUAAAAUUUCCAAAUUAUCGGUUCGACUUUCAGAGAUUAUUUAUUCCAUAAAAUUGAAAGGGACAGACAAGUAUACCGUAUUUUCCUUAUUCUACACAAUGUAAAACUGCUAGAAAAUCCCACCGCAAUACUUCCCCUAUUCUCACUCGGGGAAAAACUUAUUGUAGAUCAAUUUCUAUUAACUUUGUAGGUAUAUAUUUUAUUUUAUUAAUUUUAAAAAUGGCACCCGGUUGUUGGAAAAAUCAAGUAAAACCCGGAAGCUUUAACGCGUUUUGAUAAUGACCGUGAAAACCUGUAUUCCACUUAAGAAUACAAAAAGAGCGUGAUGUUAAAACAAAAUAUCAACACGCGAACUAAAGGGAAAAAUUAUGCAUACAAAAAAGUUGUUUAAACAUUAAUUUUUAUAAAACAACUUGACCUAAUUAACAUCGAUGGGUGUGUUGUGUAGUAGGAUUAGUUUUCACGACCAAAGUGAGUGACACACCCCCAGGUCCCCAACUAGUAUAAAAUCUCAGACGAAGUGCCGUAGAAUCAGAUUUGGUUUUACACAAGUCAAGAAAACAACUUCAAGAUGUUCAAAUUGCUUUUGUUCUUCGCCCUUUUGGCUUUCGCCCUUGCCGCCCCCAAAGCUGCCCCUCAAUUCUAUGAUUCUAUCGGCUAUGGCGGUUAUGCUGGUUAUGGAUAUGGAGGCUAUUCCCCAGUUGGUUAUGGUGGAUACUACGGAGGCUACUACUAAUGAGGCUGUUUUUUGAUCUUGUGUACAACAGGGUCAGUUACAUUUACAAAUUUAAAAAAAUAUAUUUUUGAAGUUUUAUCGUUAACAUUCUUGGGAAACUUUUUUUUGUAAAGUUUUUAGAUGCCAUGGUUCUAAUAAAUUUAUGAAAAACA
Long non-coding RNA from Zophobas morio, 980 nucleotides. RefSeq lists it as uncharacterized. The transcript is spliced from 2 exons. The record is from RefSeq and is a predicted model, not a curated record. Lineage: Eukaryota; Metazoa; Arthropoda; Insecta; Coleoptera; Tenebrionidae.